AGAGUUUGAUCCUGGCUCAGGAUGAACGCUAGCGGCAGGCUUAACACAUGCAAGUCGAGGGGUAGAGGAAGCUUGCUUCCUUGAGACCGGCGCACGGGUGCGUAACGCGUAUGCAAUCUACCUUGUACAGGGGGAUAGCCCAGAGAAAUUUGGAUUAAUACCCCCAUAGUAUAAUUGAGUGGCAUCACUUAAUUAUUAAAGUUCCAACGGUACAAGAUGAGCAUGCGUCCUAUUAGCUAGUUGGUGUGGUAACGGCAUACCAAGGCUACGAUAGGUAGGGGUCCUGAGAGGGAGAUCCCCCACACUGGUACUGAGACACGGACCAGACUCCUACGGGAGGCAGCAGUGAGGAAUAUUGGACAAUGGGCGCAAGCCUGAUCCAGCCAUGCCGCGUGCAGGAAGAAGCAUCUAUGGUGUGUAAACUGCUUUUGUACGGGAAGAAACACCUCUACGUGUAGAGGCUUGACGGUACCGUAAGAAUAAGGAUCGGCUAACUCCGUGCCAGCAGCCGCGGUAAUACGGAGGAUCCAAGCGUUAUCCGGAAUCAUUGGGUUUAAAGGGUCCGUAGGCGGUCUAAUAAGUCAGUGGUGAAAGCCCAUCGCUUAACGAUGGAACGGCCAUUGAUACUGUUAGACUUGAAUUAUUGGGAAGUAACUAGAAUAUGUAGUGUAGCGGUGAAAUGCUUAGAUAUUACAUGGAAUACCAAUUGCGAAGGCAGGUUACUAUCAAUAUAUUGACGCUGAUGGACGAAAGCGUGGGGAGCGAACAGGAUUAGAUACCCUAGUAGUCC
RNAcentral lists this ribosomal RNA (790 nucleotides) under uncultured bacterium. Its description in RNAcentral is "bacterial SSU rRNA". It matches the Rfam family "Bacterial small subunit ribosomal RNA", at positions 8 to 796 of the family's 1533-position model. The record is from RNAcentral.